Ostrea edulis (European flat oyster) is the source of this 799-nucleotide long non-coding RNA. RefSeq lists it as uncharacterized. The record is from RefSeq and is a predicted model, not a curated record. NCBI's taxonomy places the organism in Eukaryota, Metazoa, Mollusca, Bivalvia, Ostreida, Ostreidae. The transcript is spliced from 5 exons.
CCAGGCACUCACUGUCUAAUGGAUUCUUCCACUGAUCAAAAUCCAAUAUGGCGGACUCAAUGAUAAUUUUCCAUACAUAUGGAAAGAAGAAACAUAUGAUAGUGGGUGAAAAAACACCCUCAUAUAUAAUGCUUCAUGAAUAUGCAAAACCAUGCCAACAGUCUACAGACUCCAGAUGGAAAGAGAUGGAGAAAGAAUUUCUAAAGGGGUAUUCAAGGACCCAUCCUCCUCCACACUAAUUCAUAUUGGAAGGAAUUGACAUCCAACUUGAAUAAAGAAUUACAGACUUCCAGAACAGAUCCUUUUAAAAAGGAGAGGCCAGAUCUUCAGAUGACUUUAUUGAAAAUGAGAAAUUUCUGAGUGGAAGUGACGAAUGUGGCAUGCAUACAAGCAGACAUCAGCAUUCCCUCCCUCUUGUUUGUAUCAGAGGUGAGCUUUUUGAGAAAGACUCAUGGAGGAAGUUUGAGAGUGUCAGUUCUCAUAUCAAAAAGUUAGCUAGCAGUAGGAGGAGUAACAAUUCAUUCCACAUUAUGACAUGAGAAAUACGUGACUAGAAAGACCUUAAAAAGGAGAUUUGGCAUUGUUUCAUGUGGAGAUUAAAGAACCUUCAAAAUAUAUAACACAGACAUGUUUCAGUUACUUGGGGAUAACACUUAUGAGGAAUUUUGCUAACUUUCAGAUUGGAAUGUGUUGCACAAGAAAUGCUUGAUCACAACCCUCUUCUGUUAAAAACCUUUUCUAUGCAAAUAAUUAGUGUAAAUGAAAUUUAGCUAUUUCAUUAGUAAACAUGUUUUCUGCA